Molecule: ribosomal RNA, 456 nt
Filed under: Actinomyces sp. oral taxon 170
Lineage: Bacteria; Bacillati; Actinomycetota; Actinomycetes; Actinomycetales; Actinomycetaceae
Description: bacterial SSU rRNA
Rfam family: Bacterial small subunit ribosomal RNA
Source: RNAcentral
ACGAACGCUGCGGCGUGCUUAACACAUGCAAGUCGAACGGGUGAAGCGCUUCCUUUGUGGUGGGUGUGGAUGAGUGGCGAACGGGUGAGUAACACGUGAGUAACCUGCCCCCUUCUUCUGGAUAACCGCAUGAAAGUGUGGCUAAUACGGGAUAUUCUGUGCCUGCUGCAUGGUGGGUGUGGGAAAGAUUGCGCCUUUGGGUGUUUUUGGUGGGGGAUGGGCUCGCGGCCUAUCAGCUUGUUGGUGGGGUGAUGGCCUACCAAGGGUGACGGGUAGCCGGCCUGAGAGGGUGGACGGUCACACUGGGACUGAGACACGGCCCAGACUCCUACGGGAGGCAGCAGUGGGGAAUAUUGCACAAUGGGCGCAAGCCUGAUGCAGCGACGCCGCGUAGGGAUGGAGGCCUUCGGGUUGUGAACCUCUUUCGCCAGUAAGCAGGCCUGUCCCUGUGUGGGU